GUGGAUGGAAGAAACUUGGCGAAAUCCAGCGGCGACAGACGAGAAGCACGCCAAUCAGAGAGCCUACGUCACGUGUAAUUAUGAUAUGAUAAAUCCGAGCAAUUGGUUGUUCAGUCAUUUUAUCGAGGUUAAAACUGCGAGGAGGUAAUUUUUUCUGAAAUUUUUAAUGAAAGAUUGAAUUUGAAAAAACUAGAAAUGCUCCAAAAAUUCUAGAAAAAUGAAAGCUAUAUUAAAAAUAAAAAUAAAAAAAACUUAAAAUGUUCGAUUUUUUGGUAUUUUUCUGAGAAAAUUUGAAAAUCAAAAUUUUUAAAAAAAUUUGUUAUAUUUCGAUUUUUUUUUUGAAAAUCGAAAAAAAAAAUUAUUGAAAAAUGAUCAUCGGAAAAUCGAGAAAAAAUGCAGUAAAAUUUUCCAAAAAGACAAAAAAUUGAAAAAUAUACAGUAGUUUUGAAAAAUUCGAAAAAAAAGAAAAAAUUCAAUUUUUUAAACUCGAAUUAAAAAAAAACCAAAAAUUUCAAUUCUUCGGUAUUUUCAACAAAAAAAAACGAAAAAAAUAAUUUUUAAAACUAAAAUUUAACAAAAAACGAAAAAAAAAAUCAAUUUUUCUAGAUUUUCAACAAAAAAUGUUUUAAAAAAAAUCAAUUUUUCGAUAUUUUCAAAGAAAAAAUCAAAAAUUUCAAUUUUUCGUUAUUUUUUACAAAAAAUUUCAAUUUUUCGAUAUUUUUUACAAAAAAAACUUUUUAAAAAAUUCAGUUUUUCUAAAUUUUCAACAAAAAAACGAAAUCCGUAGUGUACUUUCAAAAAGGCAAUUUUUACAAAAUUCGAGUGCACAAAAAUUAUAAUAAUUCACAGUUUUGAGAAGAAAUAUUAUUUUUUACAAUGUCAAUUUUUUUUCAAAAAAGUGUUUAAAAAAUCAAUUUCAUCGUUUCCAGAAUCUACAUCGAACUGCUCUUCAACACACGUGACUGUGAUGCCUACUUGAAUCCCAAAUCCUGUAAAGAAACAUUCUCCGUGUACCUGAAACAAUUCAAAACGUCUCGACCCGGAUCUACAAAAAUCGAGAAGGAACGAUUUUCGGAGGAUAUCGAUAAUUGGAAGAAUAUUGGACGGUUGGCUCGAAGUAAUUCAAAUAUGACGACUGAAACUCUUGGAAUGGAAAUCGACUCGGACACGAAAACGAUUAGAAUUGCAUUCGAAGAGCAAGGAAUUUGUCUUUCACUUUUAAAUGUCAAG
RNAcentral lists this small RNA (1230 nucleotides) under Caenorhabditis elegans. Its description in RNAcentral is "Unclassified non-coding RNA M03A1.13". Lineage: Eukaryota; Metazoa; Nematoda; Chromadorea; Rhabditida; Rhabditidae. The record is from RNAcentral.